UACGGGGGGAGCAAACGUUGUUCGGAAUUACUGGGCGUAAAGCGUGCGCAGGCGGUUGUGUAAGACAGAUGUGAAAUCCCCGGGCUCAACCUGGGAACUGCAUUUGUGACUGCACGGCUGGAGUGCGGCAGAGGGGGAUGGAAUUCCGCGUGUAGCAGUGAAAUGCGUAGAUAUGCGGAGGAACACCGAUGGCGAAGGCAAUCCCCUGGGCCUGCACUGACGCUCAUGCACGAAAGCGUGGGGAGCAAACAGG
RNAcentral lists this ribosomal RNA (253 nucleotides) under uncultured bacterium. RNAcentral's name for it is "partial 16S ribosomal RNA". It matches the Rfam family "Bacterial small subunit ribosomal RNA", at positions 524 to 776 of the family's 1533-position model. The record is from RNAcentral.